GCAAGGAAUUGGUGGCCCGCUCCAGCGAGUUUCUCGAUGGUCAGCUCGGCCUGCGUUCGCGCAUGUCAGUACGCCUGCACCUGGCCAUGUGUCAGCACUGCCGGCGGUUUAUCAAACAGAUGCGCCUGAGCCAGGCGGUGCUGCGCCAACUGCCGCCCGGGCAAAGCGCCGAGCUGGAUGCCUUGGCCGCCAAGCUGGCCGAGUUGCGUCGUAAUCAUUCCUGAUCGCCAGGCCACUGGCCUGGC
Molecule: small RNA, 245 nt
Filed under: Pseudomonas sp. 8BK
Lineage: Bacteria; Pseudomonadati; Pseudomonadota; Gammaproteobacteria; Pseudomonadales; Pseudomonadaceae
Description: P17
Rfam family: Pseudomonas sRNA P17
Source: RNAcentral